RNAcentral lists this ribosomal RNA (497 nucleotides) under uncultured bacterium. Its description in RNAcentral is "partial 16S ribosomal RNA". It matches the Rfam family "Bacterial small subunit ribosomal RNA", at positions 28 to 507 of the family's 1533-position model. The record is from RNAcentral.
GAUGAACGCUGGCGGCGUGCCUAAUACAUGCAAGUAGAACGCUGAAGCUUGGUGCUUGCACCGAGCGGAUGAGUUGCGAACGGGUGAGUAACGCGUAGGUAACCUGCCUCUUAGCGGGGGAUAACUAUUGGAAACGAUAGCUAAUACCGCAUAAAAGUCGAUAUCGCAUGAUAUUGAUUUGAAAGGUGCAAAUGCAUCACUAAGAGAUGGACCUGCGUUGUAUUAGCUAGUUGGUGAGGUAACGGCUCACCAAGGCGACGAUACAUAGCCGACCUGAGAGGGUGGUCGGCCCAACUGGGACUGGGACACGGCCCAGACUCCUACGGGGGGCAGCAGUAGGGAAUCUUCGGCAAUGGGGGCAACCCUGACCGAGCAACGCCGCGUGAGUGAAGAAGGGUUUCGGAUCGUAAAGCUCUGUUGUAAGAGAAGAACGAGUGUGAGAGUGGAAAGUUCACACUGUGACGGUAACUUACCAGAAAGGGACGGCUAACUACGUG